RNAcentral lists this ribosomal RNA (508 nucleotides) under uncultured Glomus. Its description in RNAcentral is "SSU rRNA". It matches the Rfam family "Eukaryotic small subunit ribosomal RNA", at positions 569 to 1078 of the family's 1831-position model. The record is from RNAcentral. Lineage: Eukaryota; Fungi; Glomeromycota; Glomeromycetes; Glomerales; Glomeraceae.
AGCAGCCGCGGUAAUUCCAGCUCCAAUAGCGUAUAUUAAAGUUGUUGCAGUUAAAAAGCUCGUAGUUGAAUUUCGGGAUUAGCAGGUCGGUCGUGCCACUGGUACGUACUGGUCUUGCUGAUUCCUCCCUCUUGACGAGCCGUAAUGCCAUUAAUUUGGUGUUGCGGGGAAUCAGGACUGUUACUUUGAAAAAAUUAGAGUGUUUAAAGCAGGCAUGCGCUUGAAUACAUUAGCAUGGAAUAAUGAAAUAGGACGUUCGAUCUUAUUUUGUUGGUUUCUAGGAUUGACGUAAUGAUUAAUAGGGAUAGUUGGGGGCAUUAGUAUUCAAUUGUCAGAGGUGAAAUUCUUGGAUUUAUUGAAGACUAACUACUGCGAAAGCAUUUGCCAAGGAUGUUCUCAUUAAUCAAGGACGAAAGUUAGGGGAUCGAAGACGAUCAGAUACCGUCGUAGUCUUAACCAUAAACUAUGCCGACUAGGGAUCGGAUGAUGUUAAUUUUUUAAUGACUCA